RNAcentral lists this ribosomal RNA (530 nucleotides) under Cherax depressus. Its description in RNAcentral is "partial 16S ribosomal RNA". It matches the Rfam family "Archaeal large subunit ribosomal RNA", at positions 1943 to 2707 of the family's 2987-position model. Lineage: Eukaryota; Metazoa; Arthropoda; Malacostraca; Decapoda; Parastacidae. The record is from RNAcentral.
AGUCUGGCCUGCCCACUGUGGGUUUAAAAGGCCGCCGUAUCAUGACCGUGCGAAGGUAGCAUAAUCAUUAGUCUUUUAAUUGGAGGCUGGCAUGAAUGGUUGGACGAGAAAUUAGCUGUCUUAAGUUUUGAAAAUUGAAUUUAACUUUUAAGUGAAAGGGCUUAAAUGGGCCAGGGGGACGAUAAGACCCUAUAAAGUUUGUACACUAAACUAAUUUAGAGUGAUUUAGGUUUAUAAAGGUUAUUAUUAGAAAGGUGUUUAGUUGGGGCGACUAGGAUAUAAGUUAUCUAACUGUUUCUUUGUUAUAAUCAAAAAUAUUUGAGUUUAUGAUCCUUUUUUAGGAUUAUAGAGUAAAUUACUUUAGGGAUAACAGCGUAAUUUUUUUUGAGAGUUCUUAUCGAUAAAAGAGUUUGCGACCUCGAUGUUGAAUUAAAAUUUCUUUGUAAUGCAGCAGUUACAUGAGAGGGUCUGUUCGACCUUUAAAAUUUUACAUGAUUUGAGUUCAGACCGGCGUGAGCCAGGUUGGUUUU